ACCCUUAUUAACAAUGCUCAAUGAUUCAGCGGCGGACGGGUGAGUAAUGCCUAGGAAUCUGCCUGGUAGUGGGGGAUAACGUUUCGAAAGGAACGCUAAUACCGCAUACGUCCUACGGGAGAAAGUGGGGGAUCUUCGGACCUCACGCUAUCAGAUGAGCCUAGGUCGGAUUAGCUAGUUGGUGGGGUAAUGGCCCACCAAGGCGACGAUCCGUAACUGGUCUGAGAGGAUGAUCAGUCACACUGGAACUGAGACACGGUCCAGACUCCUACGGGAGGCAGCAGUGGGGAAUAUUGGACAAUGGGCGAAAGCCUGAUCCAGCCAUGCCGCGUGUGUGAAGAAGGUCUUCGGAUUGUAAAGCACUUUAAGUUGGGAGGAAGGGCAGUAAGUUAAUACCUUGCUGUUUUGACGUUACCAACAGAAUAAGCACCGGCUAACUUCGUGCCAGCAGCCGCGGUAAUACGAAGGGUGCAAGCGUUAAUCGGAAUUACUGGGCGUAAAGCGCGCGUAGGUGGUUCAGCAAGUUGGAUGUGAAAGCCCCGGGCUCAACCUGGGAAUUGCAUCCAAAACUACUGAGCUAGAGUACGGUAGAGGGUGGUGGAAUUUCCUGUGUAGCGGUGAAAUGCGUAGAUAUAGGAAGGAACACCAGUGGCGAAGGCGACCACCUGGACUGAUACUGACACUGAGGUGCGAAAGCGUGGGGAGCAAACAGGAUUAGAUACCCUGGUAGUCCACGCCGUAACGAUGUCGACUAGCCGUUGGGAUCCUUGAGAUCUUAGUGGCGCAGCUAACGCGAUAAGUCGACCGCCUGGGGAGUACGGCCGCAAGGUUAAAACUCAAAUGAAUUGACGGGGGGCCCGCACAAGCGGUGGAGCAUGUGGUUUAAUUUCGAAGCAACGCGAAGAACCUUACCUGGCCCUUGACAUGCAGAGAACUUUCCAGAGAUGGAUUGGUGCCUUCGGGAACUCUGACACAGUGCUGCAUGGCUGUCGUCAGCUCGUGUCGUGAGAUUGUUGGGUAAAGUCCCGUUAACGAGCGCAAACCCGGGUCUAGAUACCAGCACCUUCGGUGGCCACUCUAAGAGAACUGGCCCGGGUGACACAAA
RNAcentral lists this ribosomal RNA (1105 nucleotides) under Metapseudomonas otitidis. RNAcentral describes it as "bacterial SSU rRNA". It matches the Rfam family "Bacterial small subunit ribosomal RNA", at positions 70 to 1167 of the family's 1533-position model. The record is from RNAcentral. Lineage: Bacteria; Pseudomonadati; Pseudomonadota; Gammaproteobacteria; Pseudomonadales; Pseudomonadaceae.